GAUGAACGCUGGCGGCGUGCCUAAUACAUGCAAGUCGAACGCGAGAGGAGGGAGCUUGCUCCCUCUGAUCGAGUGGCGGACGGGUGAGUAACACGUAGGCAACCUGCCCAUCAGUCCGGGAUAACCGCGGGAAACCGUGGCUAAUACCGUAUGAUCCUCUCCACCGCGGGGUGGGGAGUUGAAAGACGGUUUCGGCUGUCGCUGCUGGAUGGGCCUGCGGCGCAUUAGCUGGUUGGCGGGGUAACGGCCCACCAAGGCAACGAUGCGUAGCCGACCUGAGAGGGUGAUCGGCCACACUGGGACUGAGACACGGCCCAGACUCCUACGGGAGGCAGCAGUAGGGAAUCUUCCGCAAUGGACGCAAGUCCGACGGAGCAACGCCGCAUGAGUGAAGAAGGGUCUCGGCUCGUAAAACUCUGUUGUUAAGGAAGAACGACAGGUAGAGUAACUGCUACCUGUGUGACGGUACUUAACCAGAAAGCCACGGCUAACUACGUGCCAGCCGCCGCCGUAA
Molecule: ribosomal RNA, 514 nt
Filed under: uncultured bacterium
Lineage: Bacteria
Description: partial 16S ribosomal RNA
Rfam family: Bacterial small subunit ribosomal RNA
Source: RNAcentral